UCAGAUUGAACGCUGGCGGCAGGCUUAACACAUGCAAGUCGAGCGGUAGCACAGAGAGCUUGCUCUCGGGUGACGAGCGGCGGACGGGUGAGUAAUGUCUGGGAAACUGCCUGAUGGAGGGGGAUAACUACUGGAAACGGUAGCUAAUACCGCAUAACGUCGCAAGACCAAAGUGGGGGACCUUCGGGCCUCAUGCCAUCAGAUGUGCCCAGAUGGGAUUAGCUAGUAGGUGGGGUAACGGCUCACCUAGGCGACGAUCCCUAGCUGGUCUGAGAGGAUGACCAGCCACACUGGAACUGAGACACGGUCCAGACUCCUACGGGAGGCAGCAGUGGGGAAUAUUGCACAAUGGGCGCAAGCCUGAUGCAGCCAUGCCGCGUGUAUGAAGAAGGCCUUCGGGUUGUAAAGUACUUUCAGCGGGGAGGAAGGCGAUAAGGUUAAUAACCUUGUCGAUUGACGUUACCCGCAGAAGAAGCACCGGCUAACUCCGUGCCAGCAGCCGCGGUAAUACGGAGGGUGCAAGCGUUAAUCGGAAUUACUGGGCGUAAAGCGCACGCAGGCGGUCUGUCAAGUCGGAUGUGAAAUCCCCGGGCUCAACCUGGGAACUGCAUUCGAAACUGGCAGGCUAGAGUCUUGUAGAGGGGGGUAGAAUUCCAGGUGUAGCGGUGAAAUGCGUAGAGAUCUGGAGGAAUACCGGUGGCGAAGGCGGCCCCCUGGACAAAGACUGACGCUCAGGUGCGAAAGCGUGGGGAGCAAACAGGAUUAGAUACCCUGGUAGUCCACGCCGUAAACGAUGUCGAUUUGGAGGUUGUGCCCUUGAGGCGUGGCUUCCGGAGCUAACGCGUUAAAUCGACCGCCUGGGGAGUACGGCCGCAAGGUUAAAACUCAAAUGAAUUGACGGGGGCCCGCACAAGCGGUGGAGCAUGUGGUUUAAUUCGAUGCAACGCGAAGAACCUUACCUGGUCUUGACAUCCACAGAACUUAGCAGAGAUGCUUUGGUGCCUUCGGGAACUGUGAGACAGGUGCUGCAUGGCUGUCGUCAGCUCGUGUUGUGAAAUGUUGGGUUAAGUCCCGCAACGAGCGCAACCCUUAUCCUUUGUUGCCAGCGGUUAGGCCGGGAACUCAAAGGAGACUGCCAGUGAUAAACUGGAGGAAGGUGGGGAUGACGUCAAGUCAUCAUGGCCCUUACGACCAGGGCUACACACGUGCUACAAUGGCAUAUACAAAGAGAAGCGACCUCGCGAGAGCAAGCGGACCUCAUAAAGUAUGUCGUAGUCCGGAUUGGAGUCUGCAACUCGACUCCAUGAAGUCGGAAUCGCUAGUAAUCGUAGAUCAGAAUGCUACGGUGAAUACGUUCCCGGGCCUUGUACACACCGCCCGUCACACCAUGGGAGUGGGUUGCAAAAGAAGUAGGUAGCUUAACCUUCGGGAGGGCGCUUACCACUUUGUGAUUCAUGACUGGGGUGAAUCAAAA
This 1474-nucleotide ribosomal RNA is filed under the name Klebsiella sp. Its description in RNAcentral is "bacterial SSU rRNA". It matches the Rfam family "Bacterial small subunit ribosomal RNA". The record is from RNAcentral. Lineage: Bacteria; Pseudomonadati; Pseudomonadota; Gammaproteobacteria; Enterobacterales; Enterobacteriaceae.